Long non-coding RNA from Corapipo altera (White-ruffed manakin), 246 nucleotides. RefSeq lists it as uncharacterized. The transcript has 2 exons. Lineage: Eukaryota; Metazoa; Chordata; Aves; Passeriformes; Pipridae. The record is from RefSeq and is a predicted model, not a curated record.
CAAAAAUACCGGGAAUGCUGGGAUUCAGGAAGGGCUGGGAGGGAAUUCCCAAAAAACACCGGGAAUACUGGGAGUCGGGAAGGGCUGGGAGGCGAUUCCCAAAAAAACCUGGGAAUACUGGGAGGCUGGGAGGGAAUUCCCAAAAAUACCCUGGAAUACUGGGAUUUGGGAAGGACUGGGAGGGGAUUCCCAAAAAAACUGGGAUUCUGGGAUUGUGGAAGGACUGGGAGGGAAUUCCCAAAAAAA